RNAcentral lists this ribosomal RNA (811 nucleotides) under Rhodococcus sp. (in: high G+C Gram-positive bacteria). Its description in RNAcentral is "bacterial SSU rRNA". It matches the Rfam family "Bacterial small subunit ribosomal RNA", at positions 100 to 917 of the family's 1533-position model. Lineage: Bacteria; Bacillati; Actinomycetota; Actinomycetes; Mycobacteriales; Nocardiaceae. The record is from RNAcentral.
GAACGGGUGAGUAACACGUUUUAGGGUGAUCUGCCCUGCACUCUGGGAUAAGCCUGGGAAACUGGGUCUAAUACCGGAUAUGAGCUCCUGCCGCAUGGUGGGGGUUGGAAAGGUUUACUGGUGCAGGAUGGGCCCGCGGCCUAUCAGCUUGUUGGUGGGGUAAUGGCCUACCAAGGCGACGACGGGUAGCCGGCCUGAGAGGGCGACCGGCCACACUGGGACUGAGACACGGCCCAGACUCCUACGGGAGGCAGCAGUGGGGAAUAUUGCACAAUGGGCGAAAGCCUGAUGCAGCGACGCCGCGUGAGGGAUGACGGCCUUCGGGUUGUAAACCUCUUUCAGCAGGGACGAAGCGCAAGUGACGGUACCUGCAGAAGAAGCACCGGCCAACUACGUGCCAGCAGCCGCGGUAAUACGUAGGGUGCGAGCGUUGUCCGGAAUUACUGGGCGUAAAGAGCUCGUAGGCGGUUUGUCGCGUCGUCUGUGAAAACCCGCAGCUCAACUGCGGGCUUGCAGGCGAUACGGGCAGACUUGAGUACUGCAGGGGAGACUGGAAUUCCUGGUGUAGCGGUGAAAUGCGCAGAUAUCAGGAGGAACACCGGUGGCGAAGGCGGGUCUCUGGGCAGUAACUGACGCUGAGGAGCGAAAGCGUGGGUAGCGAACAGGAUUAGAUACCCUGGUAGUCCACGCCGUAAACGGUGGGCGCUAGGUGUGGGUUUCCUUCCACGGGAUCCGUGCCGUAGCUAACGCAUUAAGCGCCCCGCCUGGGGAGUACCGCUCGCAAGGAAUGAAGUUAACAGCAAUGAAUUUG